UGGGGAAUAUUGCGCAAUGGGGGAAACCCUGACGCAGCAACGCCGCGUGGGUGACGAAGGUCUUCGGAUUGUAAAACCCUGUCUUCUGGGACGAUAAUGACGGUACCAGAGGAGGAAGCCACGGCUAACUACGUGCCAGCAGCCGCGGUAAUACGUAGGUGGCGAGCGUUGUCCGGAUUUACUGGGCGUAAAGGAUGCGUAGGCGGAUCUUUAAGUGGGAUGUGAAAUACCCGGGCUCAACUUGGGUGCUGCAUUCCAAACUGGGGAUCUAGAGUGCAGGAGAGGUAAGUGGAAUUCCUAGUGUAGCGGUGAAAUGCGUAGAGAUUAGGAAGAACACCAGUGGCGAAGGCGACUUACUGGACUGUAACUGACGCUGAGGCAUGAAAGCGUGGGUAGCAAA
This 400-nucleotide ribosomal RNA is filed under the name uncultured bacterium. RNAcentral's name for it is "bacterial SSU rRNA". It matches the Rfam family "Bacterial small subunit ribosomal RNA", at positions 355 to 772 of the family's 1533-position model. The record is from RNAcentral.